UACGAAGGGAGCUAGCGUUGUUCGGAAUCACUGGGCGUAAAGCGCACGUAGGCGGAUGUGCCAGUCAGGGGUGAAAUCCCGGAGCUCAACUCCGGAACUGCCUCUGAUACAGCACGUCUUGAGUCCGGAAGAGGUGGGUGGAAUUCCUAGUGUAGAGGUGAAAUUCGUAGAUAUUAGGAAGAACACCGGUGGCGAAGGCGGCCCACUGGUCCGGUACUGACGCUGAGGUGCGAAAGCGUGGGGAGCAAACAGG
This 253-nucleotide ribosomal RNA is filed under the name uncultured bacterium. RNAcentral's name for it is "partial 16S ribosomal RNA". It matches the Rfam family "Bacterial small subunit ribosomal RNA", at positions 524 to 776 of the family's 1533-position model. The record is from RNAcentral.